AAAUGAAGAUGAACGGCUACCACAGGCAGCAGCACUGAUAACCUCCUUCUGUUCUCAGUAGUAUCCAGAUCUGUUUUCUUCAUGCACAAAUCUCAGAAUUCCUCUUUUGGAGAAUCAAAGAUGACUUGAGUGGAUUGAGACCCCACGUGUCACCUGAGAUGGACCCUUUCUAGGUCAAGAGACUGCCAUCCUGGGGCAUAGUCUCAAUCGCAAGGUAAAAGUGGACAGGUUUCAACUCUUUGGCAUGUACAGGAUCUCUUGGAGUUGUCUAGAGGAGGAAAAGAAAUCUCAUGCUCAGAUUUCCAGUGAAAAUUCUUCUG
This is a long non-coding RNA of Centrocercus urophasianus (Greater sage-grouse), 320 nucleotides long. RefSeq lists it as uncharacterized. The transcript is spliced from 3 exons. Lineage: Eukaryota; Metazoa; Chordata; Aves; Galliformes; Phasianidae. The record is from RefSeq and is a predicted model, not a curated record.